RNAcentral lists this ribosomal RNA (547 nucleotides) under uncultured bacterium. Its description in RNAcentral is "partial 16S ribosomal RNA". It matches the Rfam family "Bacterial small subunit ribosomal RNA", at positions 355 to 892 of the family's 1533-position model. The record is from RNAcentral.
UGGGGAAUUUUGGACAAUGGGCGAAAGCCUGAUCCAGCAAUGCCGCGUGUGUGAAGAAGGCCUUCGGGUUGUAAAGCACUUUUGUCCAGAAAGAAAUCCUUGGCUCUAAUACAGUCGGGGGAUGACGGUACCGGAAGAAUAAGCACCGGCUAACUACGUGCCAGCAGCCGCGGUAAUACGUAGGGUGCAAGCGUUAAUCGGAAUUACUGGGCGUAAAGCGUGCGCAGGCGGUUUGCUAAGACCGAUGUGAAAUCCCCGGGCUCAACCUGGGAACUGCAUUGGUGACUGGCAGGCUAGAGUAUGGCAGAGGGGGGUAGAAUUCCACGUGUAGCAGUGAAAUGCGUAGAGAUGUGGAGGAAUACCGAUGGCGAAGGCAGCCCCCUGGGCCAAUACUGACGCUCAUGCACGAAAGCGUGGGGAGCAAAACAGGAUUAGAUACCCCUGGUAGUCCACGCCCUAAACGAUGUCAACUAGUUGUUGGGGAUUCAUUUUCCUUAGUAACGUAGCUAACGCGUGAAGUUGACCGCCUGGGGAGUACGGUCGCAAG